AAGACUAUACUGUCCGGGAUCGUUUCUAUAGUUUGUUACUAGCAAGUUUCUCUGAAUGUGUAGAGCACCUGAACCACAGGAGGAGGCACGGUGUUCUCUCCUGAAUGUGAAGACGGCUUUGGGUGUUGUUUGUACAACUGCCAAUAGCCACUGAUGAUUGUUCUCUUCGUUUGGAAGAGUAAGAGGGAGGGAAUGCUGAAUGAGUGGC
Small nucleolar RNA from Phyllostomus hastatus (greater spear-nosed bat), 208 nucleotides. RefSeq annotates it as small nucleolar RNA U3. The transcript has a single exon. The record is from RefSeq and is a predicted model, not a curated record. Lineage: Eukaryota; Metazoa; Chordata; Mammalia; Chiroptera; Phyllostomidae.